Paramuricea clavata is the source of this 1098-nucleotide non-coding RNA. The record is from the annotation of a GenBank genome assembly. NCBI's taxonomy places the organism in Eukaryota, Metazoa, Cnidaria, Anthozoa, Malacalcyonacea, Plexauridae.
ACGAGUAAAAAUUAUUGUUAAUGGACGAUACUCAAUGCGCUAGACCUAAAAAUUAUAGAUUUAAAAUGUCUAUGUUAAGCCAACUCGAAAGCUACUAUUGUCUAAACAAAGGAAGACUCUAUCACAGAUAUUCAUUAUUUGCUUGCCAAACCCGUAGGCUACUGCACCCAGUAUCGUUUAUUAAUUAUUGUCCAAACCACUAUGUUUGACCUAUUCAUAACUAUAACAAUGAAACUAUAGUUAAACAUGGGCAGAUAUCCGAGUUAGCUUUAUCUGCCUAUAUCAUUCUUACUUGGAUUGCGAGCUGUAAAGACUGAUUUAAAGAGUCAUUUAAAAAAUUAAUCGUUUCACGUUUAUCGUUUCUAAACGUACACCAAAAAUAAUUCCAAGAGUUAGCAAACCACGAUCACGAGUUCGUCAGCAGGAUCAACGACCGUCCAGCACUCAACCGUCCGUCGAAGUACCGAGCAACUUGGGCGAGUUAUCAAUUUUAGAGUUGAAGAACCUUUGCCGCGAACUCAACUUUUCCUGCGCUGGCGGCCGACGGGUACUUACAACGCGUCUACAAAACGAAAGAGAACGUCUAAGCACGAAUACGCCGCAAUCCAACAUUCAAACCGUUCCAGUAAUGUCUCAAUCAAUUUUAUGGUUGCCCAACUGUACUUGUUCCCAGGGUCGGGCAUUUGCUUCCUGCAGGUUAGCCCCGGGGUGGGGAAUUUGCUCGAGGCUAAAAAGUCGAACUGAUUUAUCCCUUGUUUCGCCAUUUAGCCGUACUUUAGUACGCAUGUUUACACGUGCGUGCGUAUUGCAAAUUAAUCAUGGCGAACAUACACACAAACACUUUUUUCUUGUCCAUCCUUUUGAUACAUUGACUUACUUCCGCAGUUCGAUAUGGCUAUAUAAAAUUUUGAGACUUCAAUAUUUUAAUUAAAAACGUUUUGAAAUUAAAUGGCUACAGAUAUAUUGAUACGUGAUAGAGCUUGCAUUCGAUUUUUUGGAUCAGAAAUCCUCAGAAAACUUAUAUUUUGUCCCCCAAGGGUGGGGCAUUUGCGUCAAUGUAAGUCCCCAAGGGUGGGGAUUUUGUUGCAUUAUUUGGAC